Molecule: long non-coding RNA, 305 nt
Organism: Pezoporus occidentalis (night parrot)
Lineage: Eukaryota; Metazoa; Chordata; Aves; Psittaciformes; Psittacidae
Exons: 3
Source: RefSeq, a predicted model, not a curated record
GUGUGCGCCCCCCCCAGCCAUAACCAUCAGUGGGGCUUACUCUGGACGUUGGGAAUGGUAGGCAACAUGUUAGCCAAAGGCUGUCUGGAAUGGUGACCCAGUUGUAUGCAAAUACAACUUUUAAUAUGAAAAGCUUUUCCUCUGCGGCAGAUGAUGACAAAGCUCCCUUUGAAUUGACUUUGUGUUGUCAGUGACCUCCAUGUACUGAAAACUUCAGUUAGCAUCAAAAAAGAGCCCUGAGCAGAAACUGGCACUUGAACAAUAACUUUUUGCUAAUGAGGAAAGAGAAAUGGAUACCAUGCACU